RNAcentral lists this ribosomal RNA (1474 nucleotides) under Klebsiella aerogenes. Its description in RNAcentral is "bacterial SSU rRNA". It matches the Rfam family "Bacterial small subunit ribosomal RNA". Lineage: Bacteria; Pseudomonadati; Pseudomonadota; Gammaproteobacteria; Enterobacterales; Enterobacteriaceae. The record is from RNAcentral.
AUCAGCUCAGAUUGAACGCUGGCGGCAGGCCUAACACAUGCAAGUCGAGCGGUAACACAGAGAGCUUGCUCUCGGGUGACGAGCGGCGGACGGGUGAGUAAUGUCUGGGAAACUGCCUGAUGGAGGGGGAUAACUACUGGAAACGGUAGCUAAUACCGCAUAACGUCGCAAGACCAAAGUGGGGGACCUUCGGGCCUCAUGCCAUCAGAUGUGCCCAGAUGGGAUUAGCUAGUAGGUGGGGUAAUGGCUCACCUAGGCGACGAUCCCUAGCUGGUCUGAGAGGAUGACCAGCCACACUGGAACUGAGACACGGUCCAGACUCCUACGGGAGGCAGCAGUGGGGAAUAUUGCACAAUGGGCGCAAGCCUGAUGCAGCCAUGCCGCGUGUAUGAAGAAGGCCUUCGGGUUGUAAAGUACUUUCAGCGAGGAGGAAGGCGUUAAGGUUAAUAACCUUGGCGAUUGACGUUACUCGCAGAAGAAGCACCGGCUAACUCCGUGCCAGCAGCCGCGGUAAUACGGAGGGUGCAAGCGUUAAUCGGAAUUACUGGGCGUAAAGCGCACGCAGGCGGUCUGUCAAGUCGGAUGUGAAAUCCCCGGGCUCAACCUGGGAACUGCAUUCGAAACUGGCAGGCUAGAGUCUUGUAGAGGGGGGUGGAAUUCCAGGUGUAGCGGUGAAAUGCGUAGAGAUCUGGAGGAAUACCGGUGGCGAAGGCGGCCCCCUGGACAAAGACUGACGCUCAGGUGCGAAAGCGUGGGGAGCAAACAGGAUUAGAUACCCUGGUAGUCCACGCCGUAAACGAUGUCGACUUGGAGGUUGUGCCCUUGAGGCGUGGCUUCCGGAGCUAACGCGUUAAGUCGACCGCCUGGGGAGUACGGCCGCAAGGUUAAAACUCAAAUGAAUUGACGGGGGCCCGCACAAGCGGUGGAGCAUGUGGUUUAAUUCGAUGCAACGCGAAGAACCUUACCUACUCUUGACAUCCAGAGAACUUAGCAGAGAUGCUUUGGUGCCUUCGGGAACUCUGAGACAGGUGCUGCAUGGCUGUCGUCAGCUCGUGUUGUGAAAUGUUGGGUUAAGUCCCGCAACGAGCGCAACCCUUAUCCUUUGUUGCCAGCGGUCCGGCCGGGAACUCAAAGGAGACUGCCAGUGAUAAACUGGAGGAAGGUGGGGAUGACGUCAAGUCAUCAUGGCCCUUACGAGUAGGGCUACACACGUGCUACAAUGGCAUAUACAAAGAGAAGCGACCUCGCGAGAGCAAGCGGACCUCAUAAAGUAUGUCGUAGUCCGGAUUGGAGUCUGCAACUCGACUCCAUGAAGUCGGAAUCGCUAGUAAUCGUAGAUCAGAAUGCUACGGUGAAUACGUUCCCGGGCCUUGUACACACCGCCCGUCACACCAUGGGAGUGGGUUGCAAAAGAAGUAGGUAGCUUAACCUUCGGGAGGGCGCUUACCACUUUGUGAUUCAUGACUGGGGUGAA